CAGGUAUCAGAGUAUUGUAGGGGAGGAAAAAUGUUUUUUCCUUCUACCCUUCUAGGUUCUCCGGCCCUGUAAGUUGGAUUGAUGAAACACAGAUUCACAGGAGACCAACAGAAGUUCAUUAGCAUGUGCAUUGUGCAUUCACAUGGUACCCAGUGAUGAGCCACUUGGAGGCUGGUGAAAACUCUGUCCGGCUCGGGCCUGGUGCUCGCAUCAGCACUUCAAGGCCACCGAAUUAGUGUUUGAAGACCAGAUGAUCUGAUUAGAUUAUGUGGUUUGUAGAAAAUUAAAUUCUUUGGCCAAACCAGAUGCUAAGCUUCUGUCCAGAAUUGAUAUGCUAUUAGAAGGCCUGGAAACUAAUAAACGUACCAUAACUAUUAAUUUAUAGAUAGGUUGUUGGCAAAUAACCUCAGAGAGAGGAUCCAGGCUUGAAACAGCUUUUGUGACACCAGAUGGAGUGUGUGAGUUUAAUCAGAGUCCUGGGAAGGGAUCUGUACAGUGUAUUAAAAAACUCCACUGUCAUCUAUGAGUGAAGUCUGACAUAUACUGAGAAAAGUAUAGGAAAGUAGAACCUAACUGAAGCCGAUUCAAGAAACGAUGACUCAUGCAAGGAUCUAGAUGUUCUUUUAGGAUGAAGUGUGUUGGUAUGAAGCAGGGACAAUUCACCUAUCCAGAAUCUGGUGACCUGGCAGUUUUACCUGAGGACAAAGAGGCCAGAAGCUACCCAGCCAACCAAGCAAAUGUCCCACACUUCGAGUGGCCGAGCUGAACCUCUCAAGAACACCCCAAGUCCAGAAGGCUCACUUAUGUCCCCAAUGUCUCAAACCAGCAGUCCCUAAAGC
This 839-nucleotide long non-coding RNA is filed under the name Equus caballus (horse). RNAcentral's name for it is "lncRNA (ENSECAG00000046660.1)". The record is from RNAcentral. Lineage: Eukaryota; Metazoa; Chordata; Mammalia; Perissodactyla; Equidae.